UAAAGCUAGCCCAAAUAACCCCGACCCAACUACUAAAAACUCACUUGAACAAAGCAUUUACCCAAAUCCAUUAAAGUAUAGGAGAUAGAAAUUUUUAACUGGCGCUAUAGAGAAAGUACCGCAAGGGAACGAUGAAAGAAGUCUUAAAAGUACUAAACAGCAAAGCUUACCCCUUUUACCUUUUGCAUAAUGAUUUAACUAGAACAAUUUUAGCAAAGAGAACUUAAGUUAAACCCCCCGAAACCAGACGAGCUACCUACGAACAGUCCCAAAACGAACGAACUCAUCUAUGUCGCAAAAUAGUGAGAAGAUUUAUAGGUAGAGGUGAAAAGCCUAACGAGCCUGGUGAUAGCUGGUUGUCCAAAACAGAAUGUAAGUUCAAAUCUAAAUUUACCUAAAAGCCCUACAACUUCAAUGUAAAUUUAAAUUAUAGUCUAAAAAGGUACAGCUCUUUAGACACAGGAUACAACCUUCAUUAGAGAGUAAGAUCUAAGCCACACAUAGUUGGCCUAAAAGCAGCCACCAAUUAAGAAAGCGUUCAAGCUCAACAGCACAGCCACCUUAAUUUCAGCAACAACCAAUCAACUCCUAAUUUAAUAUUGGACUAAUCUAUCAACAAAUAGAAGCAAUAAUGUUAAUAUGAGUAACAAGAACCAUUUCUCCUUGCAUAAGCCUAUAUCAGAACGAAUGACCACUGAUAGUUAACAACAAAAUAAACACAACCUAACAAUAAACUACCUAUUAAACCAACUGUUAACCCAACACAGGCAUGCACUUUAAAGGAAAGAUUAAAAAAAGUAAAAGGAACUCGGCAAA
RNAcentral lists this ribosomal RNA (816 nucleotides) under Ceratotherium simum (white rhinoceros). RNAcentral describes it as "partial 16S ribosomal RNA". The stretch from base 148 to 639 matches the Rfam family "Bacterial large subunit ribosomal RNA", at positions 573 to 1301 of the family's 2925-position model. Lineage: Eukaryota; Metazoa; Chordata; Mammalia; Perissodactyla; Rhinocerotidae. The record is from RNAcentral.